GAUGAAGAACUCAGCGAAAUGCGAUACGUAAUGUGAAUUGCAAAUUCAGUGAAUCAUCGAGUCUUUGAACGCACAUUGCGCCCCCUGGUAUUCCGGGGGGCAUGCCUGUCCGAGCGUCAUUGCUGCCCUCAAGCACGGCUUGUGUGUUGGGCCCCGUCCUCCGAUCCGGGGGACGGGCCCGAAAGGCAGCGGCGGCACCGCGUCCGGUCCUCGAGCGUAUGGGGCUUUGUCACCCGCUCUGUAGGCCCGGCCGGCGCUUGCCGAUCAACCCAAAUUUUUAUCCAGGUUGACCUCGGAUCAGGUAGGGAUACCCGCUGAACUUAAGCAUAUCAAUAAGCGGAGGA
Molecule: unclassified non-coding RNA, 344 nt
Filed under: soil metagenome
Description: partial contains 5.8S ribosomal RNA, internal transcribed spacer 2, and large subunit ribosomal RNA
Rfam family: 5.8S ribosomal RNA (bases 1-119)
Source: RNAcentral